This 333-nucleotide ribosomal RNA is filed under the name Triticum aestivum (bread wheat). RNAcentral's name for it is "partial small subunit ribosomal RNA". Lineage: Eukaryota; Viridiplantae; Streptophyta; Magnoliopsida; Poales; Poaceae. The record is from RNAcentral.
AUCAGACCUGUCCUAUAUGGCCGAGCAAGAUCGAGGACGGCCGCCGAUAAUGUUCUCCUCGUGUGCAAGCUCCGCACUGCACUGAAGCAUCCAACACAUGGGAAGCAUGAAGCACAAGCAAUCAUCUCAGAUAUCGAAUCUCAAGCAUAUAGAAAUAGGCUUGCAAAAAUCUUUAGUACUGAUUUGGCUGUUGCUCCUAACAAAGCCUCCAAAAUCUCUGCGAAGAGUUACAGUAUGAUCCUGAACUUGCGAGCAAGAUGCAUAAAGGCUCCUGGACUGCCUCGUGGUCACAGUGAAGAUGUGACACUUGUGGUUAUCUUCAUGUGGCAUUGA